Molecule: ribosomal RNA, 439 nt
Filed under: uncultured bacterium
Lineage: Bacteria
Description: partial 16S ribosomal RNA
Rfam family: Bacterial small subunit ribosomal RNA
Source: RNAcentral
CUACGGGUUGCUGCAGUGAGGAAUAUUGCACAAUGGGGGGAACCCUGACGCAGCAACGCCGCGUGGAGGAUGACGCAUUUCGGUGUGUAAACUCCUUUUAUAUGUCAAGAAAAUGACGGUAGCAUAUGAAUAAGCACCGGCUAACUCCGUGCCAGCAGCCGCGGUAAUACGGAGGGUGCAAGCGUUACUCGGAAUCACUGGGCGUAAAGGACGCGUAGGCGGGUUGGAAAGUCAGGUGUGAAAUCCUACAGCUUAACUGUAGAACUGCACUUGAAACUUCUAAUCUAGAGUAUGGGAGGGGGAGAUGGAAUUAGUAGUGUAGGGGUAAAAUCCGUAGAUAUCACUAGGAAUACCUAAAGCGAAGGCGAUCUCCUGGAACAUUACUGACGCUAAGGCGUGAAAGCGUGGGGAGCAAACAGGAUUAGAUACCCGUGUAGUC